CAGCAGCCGCGGUAAUACGAGGGGGGCAAGCGUUGUUCGGAAUUAUUGGGCGUAAGGGCGCGUAGGCGGUUUGACAAGUUUGGUGUGAAAUCUAUGGGCUCAACCCAUAGCCUGCAUCGAAAACUGUCGGGCUUGAGUAUGGGAGAGGUGAGUGGAAUUUCUGGUGUAGCGGUGAAAUGCGUAGAUAUCGGAAGGAACACCUGUGGCGAAAGCGGCUCACUGGACCAUUACUGACGCUGAGGCGCGAAAGCUAGGGGAGCAAACAGGAUUAGAUACCCGCGUAGUCCCUGUCUCUUAUACA
RNAcentral lists this ribosomal RNA (301 nucleotides) under uncultured bacterium. RNAcentral's name for it is "partial 16S ribosomal RNA". It matches the Rfam family "Bacterial small subunit ribosomal RNA", at positions 509 to 808 of the family's 1533-position model. The record is from RNAcentral.